This is an unclassified non-coding RNA of Propithecus coquereli (Coquerel's sifaka), 335 nucleotides long. Its record names the gene 7SK. It matches the Rfam family "7SK RNA". Rfam says of the family: 7SK was discovered as an abundant small nuclear RNA in the mid-70s but a possible function has only recently been suggested. NCBI's taxonomy places the organism in Eukaryota, Metazoa, Chordata, Mammalia, Primates, Indriidae. The record is from Ensembl.
AGUAGUGAAGUGAUCUGGCUUUGACAUCUGUCAUUCCUUUGUCAGCAGAGUUGAUUAAUGCACUUGGCUAUUGGAGAAGGUGGCACCUUCCUUGCUCACUGCUCUAUGUGUGGUCUUUCUCAAGCCAUGUGCUAAGGCAAAGAAGUUGACCUUCUAAGCUCUGUCUGUACUCCUCCAUUGGUCAAGGGUAUCUGAAUAGCUGAGCUACUUUAGUAGAAAUUCUGAAUAUGGAAUUGCAUUUUUUUUAUAGCUGGAAAGAGACUCAAACAUGCAGAGCAUGCUGUCAUAGAGAAGCCAGCAAUGAAAUGUCUUGGUUUGAGCCACAGCAAGAGUUU